AUCAGAAGGGAGGCUACCACCCAACCCCUCCAUUGUCUUCUGAGACUAAGCUGCUUUCUAAGAAGGCCCUAGAGGAAGGAGAACUGUUGCAGGCGUGGGGGAAGCCUAAGCUCAGGAGGCUCAGGCUUAGCACUGGACGUUUUGGGCUAUGCAGCCCUGUGUGGUUUUGCCCAUGAAAAAUGUCAACACAUAUCGCCAAAUAUACCCCGAGGAACAAAAUUACUUCAGGUGGAGCAUUAGUAUC
Molecule: long non-coding RNA, 244 nt
Organism: Mus musculus (house mouse)
Lineage: Eukaryota; Metazoa; Chordata; Mammalia; Rodentia; Muridae
Product: predicted gene, 40918
Exons: 3
Source: RefSeq, a predicted model, not a curated record